Long non-coding RNA from Ostrea edulis (European flat oyster), 632 nucleotides. RefSeq lists it as uncharacterized. The record is from RefSeq and is a predicted model, not a curated record. Lineage: Eukaryota; Metazoa; Mollusca; Bivalvia; Ostreida; Ostreidae. The transcript is spliced from 3 exons.
UGAAAUUAUUUUUCGGAAUUCCGUACAUCGCCAUAGAGUAGUUGAAAAACAAAAAGGGGUUCCGAAAGUACAAGUUGUUGCUGUGACUGAAUCGAUGAUUGAGAGGGUCGUCUCGACGAAAGAUAUAGAAAUUUGGCCAUAGUUUAGAUUAGUAAUACAUCAAUGUAAUAAUAGUGGACUAAAUGUUUCGUCCGUGCAGAAUGGCACUUUUUACCUCACGAAAUUCACCACCAUGCAUAGCUGCGCUACGUAAACAAAGUUGUUGAUGUAGCGUGAUCGUGAUGUCCGAGUGCUGCGAGUUUCAAUACUGUUUAUGUAGUCAUUGAGAGUUUAAACAAAGUUUCUUCUGAGAAGAGGAAUUCGAUGGAUGCAUUCAAUGUGGACAACGAAAUCAUAAUUUCGUUUGGCAUCAUCCUAAGGACCAGUGCAAGUUGAAAUGGGCUUCCAACCAACAACUUCAACAGCAAUUUGCCAUGAAAAUCAGCAAGAAAGGUACUUCAUUUACAUUGAUGAUGUCAUAUCCCCUGGACCCCACAACUUUACAGGUUACAGAGAAAAUUCAAGAACUUCUGCACAAUGUGGGACUCGGAUAGAAUCAAUAAUGUAUUUGUGAGCCCAGAUAUAUUGUGCAA